GGAAGGAUCAUUACCGAAUUGUCAACAUGAAGUUGUUGCUGGCCCUCAGAUGGGGGCAUGUGCACACUCUGUUUACACAUCCACUCACACCUGUGCACUCCUCUGUAGUACUGUGGUCUGGGGGUUCUGUCCUCCUACUGUGGUUCUGCGUAUUUAUACACACACACUGUAAUAAAGUCUCAUGGAAUGUAUGCCGCGUUUAACGCAAUGAAAUACAACUUUCAGCAACGGAUCUCUUGGCUCUCGCAUCGAUGAAGAACGCAGCGAAAUGCGAUAAGUAAUGUGAAUUGCAGAAUUCAGUGAAUCAUCGAAUCUUUGAACGCACCUUGCGCCCUUUGGCUAUUCCGAAGGGCAUGCCUGUUUGAGUAUCAUGAACACCUCAACUCUCAUGGCUUGCCAUGAUGAGCUUGGACUUGGGGGUUUUGCUGGCCUACAGUCAGCUCCCCUCAAAUGCAUCAGCUUUCCAGUUUUUGGUGGCACCACAAGUGUGAUAAACAUCUACACGUGUGGUUCCCCACCAUGUAACCUUCAGUGAUGGAGGUUUGCUGGAGCUCACAAAUGUCUUUCCUCAGUGAAGACAGUUCUUUGAUUGUUUGAUCUCAAAUCAGGUAGGACUACCCGCUGAACUUAAGCAUAUCAAUAAGCGGAGGAA
This 652-nucleotide ribosomal RNA is filed under the name uncultured fungus. Its description in RNAcentral is "eukaryotic LSU rRNA". The stretch from base 217 to 371 matches the Rfam family "5.8S ribosomal RNA". The record is from RNAcentral. Lineage: Eukaryota; Fungi.